Molecule: long non-coding RNA, 842 nt
Filed under: Rhinopithecus roxellana (golden snub-nosed monkey)
Lineage: Eukaryota; Metazoa; Chordata; Mammalia; Primates; Cercopithecidae
Description: lncRNA (ENSRROG00000045905.1)
Source: RNAcentral
GGGGGAUGGUGAGGAAGAUGACUGAAGGGAGAAAGCAGGAAAAGGGGGUGCCUGCAGCCCUGGACAACUUUCAGGAAGACAGUUCUGAUCUGUAGCAAUUAACACAUGGUCAUCCUCAGAAAAAGGAGAUACCCAUAGCUUAAAAUACAGGAACCAAGAACUUUGAGCCUAGACAUUUGGAUGAAAAGUGAUUUCCACCUGGAGAAAAUCAUUGUCCUUCUGUGCAGAGACUCUUCCAGCUGCCUAAUGGCCAACUGAGGCUGCUCCUUGACCUUGAGUACAAAUGGCCCUCAUAUCCAAACAGCCACCUGACCAGAGCCAACCGACAACCUCCUGUGAGCUUCUCAGCCCCAGGCUGGCUCUGCAGGGAACAUGAAGGAGAACCCAUCUCUGCUGCUUUUGAAGUGCAGUGGCUUUCACUUGGAAUGGAAAUCUUUACAGGUGGCACCAGGGGCUGUGCAGAGACGACCAGGGAGAAAUUCUGGACUUCUCAUGUUCUGCCUCUGAGACAGACUGUGGUGGGAAACACAAACAAUACAAAUCCUUGGUUCCAUUUUCCUCAUCCCUUCCUGGCAAAUGGAAUCAAAUGAGGGUGAGGGUGACUGGGGAAUAAAGCAGGGGGAGUGAAGAGAUGGGGGCCUGCUGUUAGAAGCAGGGUCUGAAAUCCACCUGCUCUGGGAUGAACUGGAAAGUGCUUCUUCUCCUCCCUUCCUUGACUGAUGGCUAUGGGAACUUUAGAUGGGGAAAUACUGAAACACUGAUCUCUCAACCAAAUAUAAUUUGUAUUAAGAAUUAAGAGUUCACAAGUUAUUCUCUCUCUUUUUUUUUUUUUUUUAAAGAAA